AUUGAACGCUGGCGGCAGGCCUAACACAUGCAAGUCGAGCGGAUGAAGGGAGCUUGCUCCUGGAUUCAGCGGCGGACGGGUGAGUAAUGCCUAGGAAUCUGCCUGGUAGUGGGGGAUAACGUCCGGAAACGGGCGCUAAUACCGCAUACGUCCUGAGGGAGAAAGUGGGGGAUCUUCGGACAUCACGCUAUCAGAUGAGCCUAGGUCGGAUUAGCUAGUUGGUGGGGUAAAGGCCUACCAAGGCGACGAUCCGUAACUGGUCUGAGAGGAGGAUCAGUCACACUGGAACGUAGACACGGUCCAUGCGCCUACGGGAGGCAGCAGUGGGGAAUAGUGGGCAAUGGGCGAAAGCCUGAUCCAGCCAGGCCGCGUGUGUGAAGAGGGUCUUCGGAUUGUAAAGCACUUUAAGUUGGGAGGAAGGGCAGUAAGUUAAUACCUUGCUGUUUUGACGUUACCAACAGAAUAAGCACCGGCUAACUUCGUG
This 484-nucleotide ribosomal RNA is filed under the name uncultured bacterium. Its description in RNAcentral is "partial 16S ribosomal RNA". It matches the Rfam family "Bacterial small subunit ribosomal RNA", at positions 30 to 507 of the family's 1533-position model. The record is from RNAcentral.